UAUAAUAUAUUUUUAAAGAACCUUUAAAGAAAUCAUAAAGAAAUAAUAUAGAAUUUAAAAAUAUACUAAAAUAAAAAUCUUAAUAAAAUAUUAAAAUAGAAAUUUUAAUUAAAUCCUAAUCAAAUCCUAGUCGAAUCUUCACAAAUCCUAAAUAAAUCUUAAUCAAAUCCUAAUCAAAUCCUAAGAAAAUCCUAACUAAAUCCUAAACAAAUCCUAAACAAAUCCUAAAUAAAUCCUAAAUAAUUCCUAAACAAAUUCCUAAAUAAAUCCUAACCAAAUCUUAAUAAAAUCUUAAAUAAAUCUUUAUCAAAUCCUAAACAAAUCCUAACCAAAUUCUAAAAAAAAUCCUAAAAAAACCCUAAAAAAAUCCUAUACAAAUUCUUACCAAAUCCUAAACAUA
This 400-nucleotide long non-coding RNA is filed under the name Physcomitrium patens. RNAcentral describes it as "long non-coding RNA (PPAT_LNC007933)". Lineage: Eukaryota; Viridiplantae; Streptophyta; Bryopsida; Funariales; Funariaceae. The record is from RNAcentral.